AACGCACAGAUCUUUCCCAUGUAGCAGCAACUACACAUUCCGGUGGUUAUGGUGAUGCUGUAACUAUAGAUAACGACAUAGUGGUUAUGUCCACAUCUAACAUGGAUUUCUUCCGGAUUAUAGGAAAUCGGGGAUUUCUUUGAAGUGAAGUAAGGUGGAACAAGAAUAUUUCUUGGUAUAUAAGAUUGGUGAAGCCCGAGACCUAAGUUAUGGUUAACUUGAGAAGCGACAAGUCCCAGAUUGUUUUGCAGGUAAAAGUAUUCUGCUAGGAUGGUUGGCUAUGAGCUGGGAUUGGUAAACUCCAUUUUCUUCCUGGAGUAGUGCCGAGUCAUUAUGGUUAUCAUGUGUGCGUACGGGUAUGUCGGGGCCCUGUCCCGAUUCAUAUGAUUCAAGUGUUUACUCUUAGAGGCUUUACAGACAGUGUCCUGUGAUUAGUAUGUUAAGAUGAUAUGCGUUGAGUAAAGCGACCAUGUAGGCCGAUAUGUCAGGUUGACUUAAUUGGUUUUUGAUUAAUUGAGUAUUGUUCGCAAAUUUCUAUGGUUUGACGGAAAGUACUUUAUUAUAUUUCCGAAUUUUUUUUAUAUGUCCAGUUUCAUUAUGUGAAUGCCAGAGGGUUCGCUCAGCUUUACGUAAGAGUUGGGUGCCCAUCAUGCCCUAUCGGAAUUGGGGUGUGACAGCAAGCUUUGAGGAUUGGAUGAUCGCUAUAUGUUCAAGACGGAGUCGUUUCGAAUUCCAAGUCAACAUCCCACUAGCCAAACAGGGCCC
Molecule: long non-coding RNA, 765 nt
Organism: Lycium barbarum (goji berry)
Lineage: Eukaryota; Viridiplantae; Streptophyta; Magnoliopsida; Solanales; Solanaceae
Exons: 3
Source: RefSeq, a predicted model, not a curated record